GGACCGGUUAACUCAGUCAGUUGAGCGUAGCGCUAGCAACGCUAAGGUCACGGGUUCGAUUCCUGUUCGGUCCC
This is a non-coding RNA of Apaloderma vittatum (bar-tailed trogon), 74 nucleotides long. NCBI's taxonomy places the organism in Eukaryota, Metazoa, Chordata, Aves, Trogoniformes, Trogonidae. The record is from Rfam.